UUUAGUCUUACAGACACUUCGAAUCAACUCCAGCACCACCAUCUGAAGCGAUUCAUUCCAGUCUGAAACCUUGUCAACAUUGCUCAGAAGAUAAUUCACAGCUCGUUCUUCAGCACAGGUAAAGAGCAUUAGAAAUGCAUUUCUCUUGGCAGACGGAUCUUGUUCUGUUGACAGAGCUUUCUCGAUCAUUUCAGGUGCAUCAACGAAGAGUUGGUCGCCAUUUGGAAGCUUAUAUAUCGACAUGAUGGCCAGAAUUGCAAUCCUACGAACAAACGGGUGGCGGUGCUCCAGAUUUUGCAACACUGAUGGAGUCAAAGGCUCAACAAUUUCAGUCUCCUUCAACCGGCAAAGAAACCUCAGUGUCACUCCACGAAUGUACUCAUUCGGAUGCUGCAGAUUAUUACGAAGAUUCUGGCAUAUCAAAAUCAUUUCAGGUAGGACCUUCCCCCUAGAAUCCGUCUUUUCAAUCAGCUCCAGGUACAGCAGCAGAAGCUUUUGGAUUGUGUGGUCCUCAGAAGGCAGCACGUAUCUUAUAAUAGUUAUGAAAAGCUGCGGGAUGGUUUCUCCAUUCAGCAGAAGCAUAACCGCCUUCUUCAUGGCAUCAACUUUCGCUUCCACAUCAUUUCCUUCGAGAGCUUCUUUAAUCUCUUUGGCAACUGCUGGAGUCCCUUUGUCAUAGUAUACAAGCAAUGUACUAGAUUUUUCCAUCUUUUUCACUUCUGCAACAAAAAGCGAAAGAGAAACCAAAAUGAAGAAAACUUGUGAGCUCGAACGAAAGGAAAUCCAUGAAAGUGAAUGGAGUGAACACCAGGAACGCAAAACAAGAUUUUUCACAUCCUUAAAAUUAAUAAAAGACAUAAUGCUGUACAGAUCACAUAGUAACAAUCAUGAUAAGCAAAAUGUAAACAUUUCUUGCGGUUUCAAGUUUGAGUUUACAGAGCAGAAGAACCUUAUUCGUCUCCUCAUUACUCCUCAAGUAAAUUUUAUACAAGAAGUUUAAUAGAAUCCACAUCACUAUUCAGCAAUAAUAUACCCCACUCUACUUGGCAUCUCCGUAUUUCAAAAUUCAAUUAAAAAAAAAGAAACUAGCAAGGAUCAACAUCUCUGUUCUCCAAUCCGUGAAUUAUGAGCAAACAUCACAAUUACACGAGAAAAAUCGAAAGAUGCAAAACAAAGACAAAAUGUAAAUCCUCAGAUCCAUCAAUAAACAUCACUUUACCAGCUACGAUCAAAACAUUAUGAUCAAUCAUUUUUUAAACCGAUAACAAAGCUUCGGAUCAACUAAAAUCAAAAAACAAAAUGCCAUCUCUCUACGCUUUAACUCCCCAGAUUUAGAAAGCAGCAAUCGAGUCUAGUCUCACUCAGCUGCAUAGACAUGAAAAUCGGGUAUCUAACGGACUCGGAUCGAGAUCAAACAAAGGACGCCCAAGCAAUGUCGAUUUACACAAAAGAAAAGGUAAAACGAGGAUCGAUCUCUACAAAAUCUGGAUCAUGUAUCGAAAGUUUGGCAGAGAGACAAACCUCAAAGGUACGAGAGAUCCAGAGAGAGGAGGUGAUCGACGGAGGUACAAAGCUCGAGAGAUUUCGGAUCUCGAAUACUCGCAACACUGAGAUAAAUGUAUUUUUAUUGGUGAGAUACGUCUUAUCUGACUCAUCGAAACGAAGAACGGAAAGAGCGAGUCAACCUCAAGGGCCCAUUAAUGAAAAGCCCACUCCAACAGAAGUUAUACAAUUUUAGUGUCCCGAAGUUUGUAAUCUGUGUUUUUAAAACCGGACCGGACCGGGUUUAACUGCAAACCGGACACAGAUCCAGAUUGGGUUAAUGCUUAAACCCAAUUAAAAUUAACCCAAUAACCGUCGAUGCAAUGAACGGACCAAAUCUUGGUUAGUAUAUAAUCAAACAUUUGUUAAUAAAACAAUUUAUUUUUCUUCGUAAAAUUAGGAUCUGUGAAAAGAUUAAUAAAGUAUACUCGUCUCGUUUUUUUUUCAUUUAACAUCACUGUAACUCACAAGACUAACAAACAUAAUUAUUCAUGUCAAAAUAUUGUUUGUGUUUAUUUCUUACUUUGUUUAGAAUUUUUUCAUGAUCAAUUGUGUUGAAGAUUUUAAUAAUUAAAAUAUUUAGAUUUGUAAAAUUUAUAUAAUUUACGAAAGAACAAAGCAUUGAACUUAUUUUUACUCAUCAUUCGAGGAACAAAUUUAAACUUAGCUUGAUUUACACUUUACAUAAUCAGCUUCAAGAUAUAUUUUUUUAACUAACUUUUUAAAAGGAUGAUGAUGAUUUAGAAGUGCUAAAGAUACAAAGAAAACUAUAUGAGCUAUUAAAUUAAUUUAUUAGUUUUCUUAUAUUUUUAGUUUGUUAUAUUUUAAGUUUUUAUAAAGAUUAUGGUUAAUGAAAUAUUUCAUUUAUAUGAUUUAAGAAUAUGCGUACUAUUUGCAAAAUAUAAUUAAAUUCAGUUUAAUCCAAUCAAAACCGAUCAAGCCCAGUCGAACCACGAUGACCCAUAAUCCAAAAUAUUUUCGGUUCGUUAGCCGGUCCGGUUUUAAAAACAUUGUUUCUAAUUGUUUUCAAAAUAAACCCAAACUUUAUAAAGUGAUCGUAAUUGUGAUAAAUAUCCUACCGGAUUUGACUGAAUCCGGUUUACUAAAAUCGUUACUUAAACCAGGUUAUACCGAGCAUACAGAGAGUGCUCUGAGAACAUCUAUUAUCAACUCAACCAUGAUAUCUCUGUGCAAUGACUUAAGCUCACUCAACCGAUCGAGUAAAAUAAGCUUCACAUUGUUGUCACUCUGAGAAAGAAGAAGUAGACAGUAGGUGUUGGCAGCAGCUCUAAUAGCAGUAGGGGGCAGACGAGAGAGAAACAAGAGUCCCAGCACAUUCAUAGAUAACUGCAGAAGAAGUGGCGCUUAACAGAGAAAUAAUAAUCUUAAUAUAUUUCCCCUUCUCUGUUGGUUUAGUCUUACAGACACUUCGAAUCAACUCCAGCACCACCAUCUGAAGCGAUUCAUUCCAGUCUGAAACCUUGUCAACAUUGCUCAGAAGAUAAUUCACAGCUCGUUCUUCAGCACAGGUAAAGAGCAUUAGAAAUGCAUUUCUCUUGGCAGACGGAUCUUGUUCUGUUGACAGAGCUUUCUCGAUCAUUUCAGGUGCAUCAACGAAGAGUUGGUCGCCAUUUGGAAGCUUAUAUAUCGACAUGAUGGCCAGAAUUGCAAUCCUACGAACAAACGGGUGGCGGUGCUCCAGAUUUUGCAACACUGAUGGAGUCAAAGGCUUAACAAUUUCAGUCUCCUUCAACCGGCAAAGAAACCUCAGUGUCACUCCACGAAUGUACUCAUUCGGAUGCUGCAGAUUAUUACGAAGAAUCUGGCAUAUCAAAAUCAUUUCAGGCAGGACCUUCCCCCUAGAAUCCGUCUUUUCAAUCAGCUCCAG
Molecule: long non-coding RNA, 3430 nt
Filed under: Brassica napus (rape)
Lineage: Eukaryota; Viridiplantae; Streptophyta; Magnoliopsida; Brassicales; Brassicaceae
Description: long non-coding RNA (BNAP_LNC011139)
Source: RNAcentral